Molecule: long non-coding RNA, 1193 nt
Organism: Eupeodes corollae
Lineage: Eukaryota; Metazoa; Arthropoda; Insecta; Diptera; Syrphidae
Exons: 3
Source: RefSeq, a predicted model, not a curated record
AUUUUUGUCGCCAUACGCUCUUGUCGUAGUCGUUCGUGCAUUGGCUUAAGUUGGUUAAUUUAAAUCCUAAUUUUAAUUUCAUUUCAAUAAAACUUUUGAACAAGCAACGCAACGGUAAUAGUUUCCUAAAUUUUGGGGGUGUGGAAAUCAAUUAAAAGAAAUAAAGAAAGAACUAUGACAUUGAGCUAGUUCCUGAUUGGAAAAGUGGUUACAUCGAAUUUUGCGAAAAAAGUUCAAUUUUUUUUUUGUUUACACCAUUUUCUCCCUUAAGGGGGUGUCUAAUUGUUUUUGUGUGUUUGGCUGUGCCUCUGUUGUUUGCGGUGACAAUUCUUUGACAUUCUACCAAUUACACGCUUCUGCGGCGUGUAAAUGUACAGAGACGGGAAAAAGCUGAUUCAACGCAAAGAACGUAUGCAAAUUUUAGCAAGGAAGAUGGACGAGGUCUUUUCGCUGCAUACGGAAAAACUAGAUUUGUUCGAUGUUCUCCUUUUGGCCGGCAUUCUUUCGCUUAUAAUACUUUUGGUUCUGUAACCGAGAAAACAUUUAAUUUAUUUUCUAAGUUUAUUUUACAAAAACACAAAUUGCAGCCAAAUAAGAAAAUUUUUAGAUGGAAAAUACAAAAAUUGUAAUUGGAGUAAACCACUUACACGGAAUAAAAUGCAAAAUUCGUGGUGAAAUAACUAGAAAUGUCAAACUGGCCAGCAGCUGUCAAAAGUGACACAAUUUUGGAGCUUUUUUCUUACUGAAAAGAAAAAGCUUUUUCUUCGAAAGCAUAUCUUUGUGGAGUGUGUUCAGUGACCAUGAUACGCUACUAAUGAUAGUGGUGUUGCCAUACUAUGAGAAUGAACGACCGUACGUUUGAAGAGGAAAUUUCCAUAUCUACUAUUAUUAUCUGUUGCAAUUUGUGAUAUAUGCUCAAUAAAUUAUAAUAAUUUCUUCUUUCACAAAAGACGAUAUUACAAACAAAAUGUAUAAUCAAAAUAUUAUAAAAAAAAAUAAUAUUGUAAAAUAUAACUAAUUAUCGUUUGUAAAACAAAACAAAAAUUAUCAGUAUCCGUUGUAAGAAAAAAAUAACUAUUAUUAUGACAAGACUGAUUGGUAAUUUUAAAUUGACGUUAAUAUUGUAAUUAUAAAUUGCAAUGUAUAAGAACUAUAUUCAUAGACUAUAUAAAUAAAUAUUUAAUAAAAAGUAA